RNAcentral lists this ribosomal RNA (253 nucleotides) under uncultured bacterium. RNAcentral describes it as "partial 16S ribosomal RNA". It matches the Rfam family "Bacterial small subunit ribosomal RNA", at positions 524 to 776 of the family's 1533-position model. The record is from RNAcentral.
GACAGAGGUCCCGAGCGUGAGGCGGAAUCCCUGGGCUUAAAGCGUGUGUAGGCGGCGGCCUAAGUACCUUGUGAAAUCCCACGGCUCACCCGUGGAACUGCUCGGUAUACUGGGUCGCUUGAGCCACUUAGGGGCUACCGGAACAAAUGGUGGAGCGGUGAAAUGCGUAGAUAUCAUUUGGAACGCCAAUGGUGAAAACAGGUAGCUGGGAGUGUGCUGACGCUGAGACACGAAAGCCAGGGGAGCAAACGGG